CUUGAAACACGGACCAAGGAGUCUAACAUGUGCGCAAGUCAUGGGGUGUUACGAAACCUAAAGGCGAAAUGAAAGUGAAGGACCGCCUCUCGGUGGUCUGAGGUGGGAUCCGGCCGUCUUCGGACAUCAUAAGGUCGGCGCACCACCGGCCCGUCUCGUCGGCUCUGUCCGUGAGGCGGAGCAAGAGCGUACACGUUGGGACCCGAAAGAUGGUGAACUAUGCCUGAGUAGGUCGAAGCCAGAGGAAACUCUGGUGGAGGACCGUAGCGAUUCUGACGUGCAAAUCGAUCGUCGAACUUGGGUAUAGGGGCGAAAGACUAAUCGAACCGUCUAGUAGCUGGUUCCCUCCGAAGUUUCCCUCAGGAUAGCUGGCGCUCGUUAGAGCAGUUUUAUCCGGUAAAGCGAAUGACUAGAGGUCUUGGGGACGAAACGUUCUCAACCUAUUCUCAAACUUUAAAUGGGUAAGAAGUCCGACUCGCUCGAGCUGGAGCCGGGCGACGAAUGCUGAGUGCCCAGUGGGCCACUUUUGGUAAGCAGAACUGGCGCUGUGGGAUGAACCAAACGUCCGGUUAAGGCGCCCAACGAGGACGCUCAUCAGAUACCAUAAAAGGUGUUGGUUGAUAUAGACAGCAGGACGGUGGCCAUGGAAGUCGGAA
Molecule: ribosomal RNA, 656 nt
Filed under: Marenzelleria arctia
Lineage: Eukaryota; Metazoa; Annelida; Polychaeta; Spionida; Spionidae
Description: LSU rRNA
Rfam family: Eukaryotic large subunit ribosomal RNA
Source: RNAcentral